Triticum urartu is the source of this 71-nucleotide non-coding RNA. NCBI's taxonomy places the organism in Eukaryota, Viridiplantae, Streptophyta, Magnoliopsida, Poales, Poaceae. The record is from Rfam.
GUGAGUAUAGGUUAAUGGUAGACUUAUCGACUUCCAAUCGAGGUGUGUCAGUUCAAUUCUGACUAUUCAUA